AAACCCGCCAACUUUAAAAAUCGGGGGGGUUCAGGCCCCUCUACCCCCA
RNAcentral lists this transfer RNA (49 nucleotides) under Salicornia fruticosa. RNAcentral's name for it is "partial tRNA-Leu". The record is from RNAcentral. RNAcentral also lists the same sequence under 1 other name. Lineage: Eukaryota; Viridiplantae; Streptophyta; Magnoliopsida; Caryophyllales; Amaranthaceae.